Molecule: long non-coding RNA, 305 nt
Organism: Dreissena polymorpha
Lineage: Eukaryota; Metazoa; Mollusca; Bivalvia; Myida; Dreissenidae
Exons: 3
Source: RefSeq, a predicted model, not a curated record
AACCCCAUCAUCUUACCAAACUACUACUACUACUACUACUACUACUACUACUACUACUACUACUACUUCUGCUAUUACUAUUAGGAAAAAAGGAUGUGGCGACAUCGGGACAUCUAACCCCGGAGCGCACAUUGCCAAUAUUGGAACUGGUACCGGGCUGACGUUUUUUAUUGGGUCUUCCAAGUCGCCUUGCUGCGGAACGCUCAACAACUGGAAAUUCUAUGUGACGUCAAUUGGGGACGUCACGAUGCAUCUAUGGCGGCCGACAUCGACACCAAGUUACGAACUUAUUGCGCAACAAACAU